Molecule: ribosomal RNA, 447 nt
Filed under: uncultured bacterium
Lineage: Bacteria
Description: bacterial SSU rRNA
Rfam family: Bacterial small subunit ribosomal RNA
Source: RNAcentral
GAUGAACGCUAGCGGCAGGCCUAAUACAUGCAAGCCGGACGGCAAGUUGAGUAGCAAUACUUGACCUAGAGUGGCGUAAGGGUGCGUAACACGUAUGCAAUCUGCCCACAGCCGGGUGAUAGCCCUCCGAAAGGAGGAUUAAUAUCCCAUAGGAAGAUGAGAUGGCAUCAUUUUAUUUUUAAACUACGGGGCUGUGGAUGAGCAUGCGGUUGAUUAGCUAGUUGGCGGGGUAAAGGCCCACCAAGGCGAUGAUCAAUAGGGGACCUGAGAGGGUGAUCCCCCACACUGGCACUGAGAUACGGGCCAGACUCCUACGGGAGGCAGCAGUAGGGAAUAUUGGGACAAUGGGUGUAAGCCUGAUCCAGCCAUGCCGCGUGCAGGAAGAAGGCCUUCUGGUUGUAAAGCUCUUUUGCCAGGGAAGAUGUAGUGACUGUACCUGGAGAAUAA